AACGCUGGCGGCGUGCUUAACACAUGCAAGUCGAACGGAAAGGCCCUGCUUUUGUGGGGUGCUCGAGUGGCGAACGGGUGAGUAACACGUGAGUAACCUGCCCUUGACUUUGGGAUAACUUCAGGAAACUGGGGCUAAUACCGGAUAGGAGCUCCUGCUGCAUGGUGGGGGGUUGGAAAGUUUCGGCGGUUGGGGAUGGACUCGCGGCUUAUCAGCUUGUUGGUGGGGUAGUGGCUUACCAAGGCUUUGACGGGUAGCCGGCCUGAGAGGGUGACCGGCCACAUUGGGACUGAGAUACGGCCUAGACUCCUACGGGAGGCAGCAGUGGGGAAUAUUGCACAAUGGGCGGAAGCCUGAUGCAGCAACGCCGCGUGCGGGAUGACGGCCUUCGGGUUGUAAACCGCUUUCGCCUGUGACGAAGCGUGAGUGACGGUAAUGGGUAAAGAAGCACCGGCUAACUACGUGCCAGCAGCCGCGGUGAUACGUAGGGUGCGAGCGUUGUCCGGAUUUAUUGGGCGUAAAGGGCUCGUAGGUGGUUGAUCGCGUCGGAAGUGUAAUCUUGGGGCUUAACCCUGAGCGUGCUUUCGAUACGGGUUGACUUGAGGAAGGUAGGGGAGAAUGGAAUUCCUGGUGGAGCGGUGGAAUGCGCAGAUAUCAGGAGGAACACCAGUGGCGAAGGCGGUUCUCUGGGCCUUUCCUGACGCUGAGGAGCGAAAGCGUGGGGAGCGAACAGGCUUAGAUACCCUGGUAGUCCACGCUGUAAACGGUGGGUACUAGGUGUGGGGUCCAUUCCACGGAUUCCGUGCCGUAGCUAACGCUUUAAGUACCCCGCCUGGGGAGUACGGCCGCAAGGCUAAAACUCAAAGGAAUUGUCGGGGCCCCGCACAAGCGGCGGAGCAUGCGGAUUAAUUCGAUGCAACGCGUAGAACCUUACCUGGGUUUGACAUGGAUCGGGAGUGCUCAGAGAUGGGUGUGCCUCUUUUGGGGUCGGUUCACAGGUGGUGCAUGGCUGUCGUCAGCUCGUGUCGUGAGAUGUUGGGUUAAGUCCCGCAACGAGCGCAACCCUUGUUCACUGUUGCCAGCACGUUAUGGUGGGGACUCAGUGGAGACCGCCGGGGUCAACUCGGAGGAAGGUGGGGAUGACGUCAAGUCAUCAUGCCCCUUAUGUCCAGGGCUUCACGCAUGCUACAAUGGCUGGUACAGAGAGUGGCGAGCCUGUGAGGGUGAGCGAAUCUCGGAAAGCCGGUCUCAGUUCGGAUUGGGGUCUGCAACUCGACCUCAUGAAGUCGGAGUCGCUAGUAAUCGCAGAUCAGCAACGCUGCGGUGAAUACGUUCCCGGGGCUUGUACACACCGCCCGUCAAGUCAUGAAAGUUGGUAACACCCGAAGCCGGUGGCCUAACCGUUGUGGGGGAGCCGUCGAAGGUGGGACUGGUGAUUAGG
Molecule: ribosomal RNA, 1441 nt
Filed under: uncultured organism
Description: 16S ribosomal RNA
Rfam family: Bacterial small subunit ribosomal RNA
Source: RNAcentral